Molecule: ribosomal RNA, 361 nt
Filed under: uncultured eukaryote
Lineage: Eukaryota
Description: SSU rRNA
Rfam family: Eukaryotic small subunit ribosomal RNA
Source: RNAcentral
CCAGCAGCUGCGGUAAUUCCAGCUCCAAUAGCGUAUAUUAAAGUUGUUGCAGUUAAAACGCUCGUAGUCUGGUGUGGAGUGUGUGGGGGUGUGGGUCGAUAGAUUUGCAAACUCGCGCACUCGUUCUGACAGAUAUGUCGGGGUUACUUUGAGGAAAUUAGGGUGUUCAAGGCAGGCGUGUGCUUGGAUAUCGCAGCAUGGAAUAAUGGAAUAGGACUUUGGUGCUAUUUCGUUGGUUAAUGGGACCGAAGUAAUGAUUAAAAGGGACAGUUGGGGCCGUUUAUAUUUCGUUGUCAGAGGUGAAAUUCUUGGAUUUACGAAAGAUAAACUUCUGCGAAAGCAUUCGGCAAGGAUGUUUUCA